AGAGUUUGAUCCUGGCUCAGAAUGAACGCUGGCGGCGCGCCUAAUACAUGCAAGUCGAGCGAGAAGACGUAGCAAUACGUUUGUAAAGCGGCGAACGGGUGAGGAAUACAUGGGUAAUCUGCCCUUCGAUGGGGGACAACAACCCGAAAGGGUUGCUAAUACCGCAUUCGUCGGCGAGUUCUGCGGAACACGUCGGGAAAGCUGCCCUCUACUUGUAAGGUAGCGUCGAAGGAGGAGCCCGCGUCCCAUCAGCUAGUUGGUAGGGUAAUGGCCUACCAAGGCAAAGACGGGUAGCUGGUCUGAGAGGACGACCAGCCACACUGGCACUGCGACACGGGCCAGACUCCUACGGGAGGCAGCAGUAGGGAAUAUUGCGCAAUGGGCGAAAGCCUGACGCAGCGACGCCGCGUGGGGGAUGAAGGUCUUCGGAUUGUAAACCCCUUUCGGGAGGGAAGAUGGAAUGGGGUAACCCAUUUGGACGG
Molecule: ribosomal RNA, 482 nt
Filed under: uncultured Nitrospira sp.
Lineage: Bacteria; Pseudomonadati; Nitrospirota; Nitrospiria; Nitrospirales; Nitrospiraceae
Description: bacterial SSU rRNA
Rfam family: Bacterial small subunit ribosomal RNA
Source: RNAcentral